RNAcentral lists this transfer RNA (73 nucleotides) under Camelus bactrianus (Bactrian camel). It matches the Rfam family "tRNA". From Rfam's summary of the family: Transfer RNA (tRNA) molecules are approximately 80 nucleotides in length. Their secondary structure includes four short double-helical elements and three loops (D, anti-codon, and T loops). The record is from Rfam by way of RNAcentral. Lineage: Eukaryota; Metazoa; Chordata; Mammalia; Artiodactyla; Camelidae. RNAcentral also lists the same sequence under 2 other names.
GAGGAUAUAGCUCAAGUGGUAGAGCACAUGCUUAGCAUUCACAAUGUCCUGGGUUCAAUCCCCAGUACCCUCU